This is a long non-coding RNA of Gadus macrocephalus (Pacific cod), 2119 nucleotides long. RefSeq lists it as uncharacterized. NCBI's taxonomy places the organism in Eukaryota, Metazoa, Chordata, Actinopteri, Gadiformes, Gadidae. The record is from RefSeq and is a predicted model, not a curated record. The transcript has 3 exons.
GAUCUUCCGGUUCAUCUCCUGUCGAGGCAGGGCGUAGAGUACACCAAGGACCAGAGAGAUUUUGCCCUUACGCUCCAUCUGCAUGGUCCAAAGGCAAAUCACUACCUGAGAGAUACUCUGCACAUUCACCUGCCACAUCCCAGUUCAUUGCAAAGGUGGCUGAGCUCUCUUGAUGCCAGACCUGGUCUCAAUAAAAUGAUGUUGGACAUGCUGGAAAGACGGCGUCAGGAAGAUGAGGUCAAAUACGGAAGUGUCACUCUGAUGCUGGAUGCCAUGUACAUCAAAAAACACGUCCAACAUGAUCCUCAGACACAAACAAUGUUUGGAUAUGUGGACAUGGGGGAUCGACUGAAUGAGACUGACAUAGCUUCCGAGGUUCUUGUGUUUAUGGUGGUUGGGCUUCAAGGUUAUUGGAAAGCUCCAAUUGCAUAUUAUUUGACCAAGUCCCUCACACCAGAAUCACAGAAAGUGUUAGUAGAACAUGCACUAGAAGAGCUGCAUCAUCGUCAAAUAAGGGUGGUGUGCAUGACAAUGGAUGGUCAUGCAACGAAUAUCUGUAUGUGCACCCAACUUGGGUACGAUUUAAAAGCAGACCCCUGUAAGCCCUUCAAGACCCAUUUCCAACAUCCAGUAUCCCAUGACAAUGUUUUUGUUAUGAUGGAUGCUUGCCACAUGCUGAAGCUGACACGCAAUAUGUUGCAGGCAUACAGCCCAAUUAGAAGCAUAACUGGCAGUAUCAAUUGGAAGUACAUAGUUCAGCUGAACAAUGUCCAAAAGAAAAGUGGACUACAUGCUGCCAACCGAGUCACAGAUAAGCAUGUGAACUUUGCCAAUCAGAAGAUGAAGGUAUGUUAUCAUGAUGAUUUAUGUAUAGAGGGCCGCAAUAGAAAUAGGCUCUAAGGCUUUAUUGUGUUUUUUAAUGUGCUCUUCAUUUCUCCUUCUAAACUCAAUCAAGGCCUCCCUGGCUGCUCAGACUUUGAGUAACUCUGUGGCAGUGGCGCUCCGCACCUUGCAGGACGUAGGCUAUGCAGAGUUCAAAGAUUAUGAGGCUACUUCUGAAUUAAUUAAGGUAAUGCAGCUAGGAUUUGCAUCAUUGACCAAAAACAUUUCCCAACAUUCUAGGCCUACUGUUAACUUCUUACCAACAUUUGAGUGAUUAAUUGCUUUAACCCCUUUUUUUCCCCUUUUAACACCCACCCUCCCUUUGUAGUUGAUAUGUUGGUCAGCUAUCCCAAAGCAGAACAUUUUGGCAUCAGGAACGAUUCAAUAAUUACGACCCUCCUCAAAUUCAACACUAUGCAAGAACUUGGUUAAAACUAUACCUACCUCAUACUUUCCUCAAAAACACCCUUAUUGUUACAUCUCCGAUUAACAGGUUUAAAGCAAUGCAGAAAUAUACAUUUUAAAAUCAUAGCCACAGAGAAAAUGGAGAGAAAUCAAACUAUGCCUCAUACUUGGGUGUUUACUAUCUGAUACCUGUUGACACUAAGUUAUAGUGAUGAUUUAAGUGCUUUCAGUUAAUUUAGAUAUUUGUUUAUAGAUAACAGACAAGCUGUUUGACAUCUUGAACGGUCGCAAUCCCAGAGCCAAAGGGUUCAAAGCCCCCCUUGGUUCCAGGAAUUGGACAAGCACCAGGGAGUUCUUGAUAAAAGCCAGGGGGUACUUGCUCACUUUGAAGAUGGAGGAUGGCAAACCCCUUUACCGAACAAAGAGGUCUUUUAAAAUAGUGACAAUUAGUGAUGCACUUACACCAUUUGUAGUCGCCAAUACCCAGUACAAAUUCUUAAUUCUAAUUCUUAAUUCUAAUUAAAUUAUCGUGUGCUCAAUUAGAAAAUAAGGGUUUAUUUUAUUAUUCGUUAGAUGUAUACAAGUAGUCAAUUUACAAAUCAUUAAAUUAUCUAAGGUAAAACUCUACUGGUUUCAGUGCAUCCCUCAAGUCCAUGAUAUAAGUUCAACAGAUGCUCUGUUCUCUUGUUUAUCUACAGUGUUCUGUGUCUUCUGCAUCGAGUUCAGAUGCUCUGUCCUCCUGUCUGCAUCAAGUUCAUAAGAUGCUCUGUCCUGUAAGAUGUUCUGUCCUGUCUGCAUCGAGUUCAUGAGAUGCUCUUUUCUGUUCAUGUAU